CCUACGGGAGGCAGCAGUUGGGAAUAUUGCACAAUGGGGGAAACCCUGAUGCAGCGACGCCGCGUGAGUGAAGAAGUAAUUCGUUAUGUAAAGCUCUAUCAGCAGGGAAGAAAAUGACGGUACCUGAGUAAGAAGCCCCGGCUAACUACGUGCCAGCAGCCGCGGUAAUACGUAGGGGGCAAGCGUUAUCCGGAUUUACUGGAUGUAAAGGGAGCGUAGACGGCAGUGCAAGUCUGGAGUGAAAGGCGGGGGCUCAACCCCCGGACUGCUCUGGAAACUGUGCGGCUGGAGUGCGGGAUAGGUAAGUGGAAUUCCUAGUGUAGCGGUGAAAUGCGUAGAUAUUAGGAGGAACACCAGUGGCGAAGGCGGCUUACUGGACUGUAACUGACGUUGAGGCUCGAAAGCGUGGGGAGCAAACAGGAUUAGAUACCCUAGUAGUC
This 440-nucleotide ribosomal RNA is filed under the name uncultured bacterium. RNAcentral describes it as "partial 16S ribosomal RNA". It matches the Rfam family "Bacterial small subunit ribosomal RNA", at positions 338 to 795 of the family's 1533-position model. The record is from RNAcentral.